RNAcentral lists this unclassified non-coding RNA (327 nucleotides) under soil metagenome. Its description in RNAcentral is "partial contains 5.8S ribosomal RNA, internal transcribed spacer 2, and large subunit ribosomal RNA". The stretch from base 1 to 120 matches the Rfam family "5.8S ribosomal RNA", at positions 35 to 154 of the family's 154-position model. The record is from RNAcentral.
GAUGAAGAACGUAGCGAAAUGCGAUAAGUAAUGCGAAUUGCAGAAUUCAGUGAGUCAUCGAAUCUUUGAACGCACAUUGCGCCCCUUGGUAUUCCGAGGGGCAUGCCUGUUCGAGCGUCAUUAUAACCCCUCAAGCUCGGCUUGGUGUUGGGGCCUGCCGCACGGGCAGCCCUUAAAAUCAGUGGCGGUGCCAUCUGGCUCUAAGCGUAGUAAUUCUUCUCGCUAUAGAGUCCCGGUGGAUGCUUGCCAUUAACCCCCAAUUUCAAUGGUUGACCUCGGAUCAGGUAGGGAUACCCGCUGAACUUAAGCAUAUCAAUAAGCGGAGGA